Molecule: ribosomal RNA, 253 nt
Filed under: uncultured bacterium
Lineage: Bacteria
Description: partial 16S ribosomal RNA
Rfam family: Bacterial small subunit ribosomal RNA
Source: RNAcentral
UACGUAGGGGGCUAGCGUUGUCCGGAAUCAUUGGGCGUAAAGAGCGUGUAGGCGGUCCGGUAAGUCCGCUGUGAAAGUCGGGGGCUCAACCCUCGAAUGCCGGUGGAUACUGUCGGGCUAGAGUGCGGAAGAGGCGAGUGGAAUUCCUGGUGUAGCGGUGAAAUGCGCAGAUAUCGGGAGGAACACCUGAGGCGAAGGCGGGCUACUGGGCCGAUACUGACGCUGAUGUGCGAAAGCCAGGGGAGCGAACGGG